Molecule: long non-coding RNA, 446 nt
Organism: Xenopus laevis (African clawed frog)
Lineage: Eukaryota; Metazoa; Chordata; Amphibia; Anura; Pipidae
Exons: 2
Source: RefSeq, a predicted model, not a curated record
AGCUCAAGGAGAUUUGCUUCUCUUGCUGUCUACUCUUUCGCACGGUUUCUUUCCUCCACGCACGUCUCCCUCUCUCGCCGCCUCUUCCAGUUUAUUAUGUUCCUUCAGACGCCGCAGACUUAUUUUCUGUGGCUAUAGAAACACAGCCGGAGCAGCUUAUCAGCGAGAUCGUUGGACCGCUGAUUGGAGAUGGAAUGUGUUAUUUGGGGCACACAGUGUCGGACGGGGCCAGCGGGACACCAUGAAAAAACCUGGUGGGCCCUGACCCUCAUGGGCCCCCGCCAGCCCAGACCUGCUUCCCCAGCUGCCCCGUAAAGAAAUGAACACACAGCGCAUGGUGGGCCCAGGGACUUUAAAAGACUAUGAGAAAAUGUGCUAAAAAGCCUGAUAAUCUAUAACAUUUUCUCAGGAAAGCAUUGUUGACUAUGAAAAAAAACUGAACUGCU